UACGUAGGGGGCAAGCGUUGUCCGGAAUUAUUGGGCGUAAAGAGCGUGUAGGCGGCCAGAUAAGUCCGCUGUGAAAUCUCGAGGCUCAACUUCGAGCUGUCGGUGGAAACUAUCUGGCUAGAGUCCGGAAGAGGAGAAUGGAAUUCCUGGUGUAGCGGUGAAAUGCGCAGAUAUCAGGAAGAACACCCGUGGCGAAGGCGGUUCUCUGGGACGGUACUGACGCUGAGACGCGAAGGCGUGGGGAGCGAACAGG
This 253-nucleotide ribosomal RNA is filed under the name uncultured bacterium. RNAcentral's name for it is "partial 16S ribosomal RNA". It matches the Rfam family "Bacterial small subunit ribosomal RNA", at positions 524 to 776 of the family's 1533-position model. The record is from RNAcentral.